Molecule: long non-coding RNA, 1663 nt
Organism: Spinacia oleracea (spinach)
Lineage: Eukaryota; Viridiplantae; Streptophyta; Magnoliopsida; Caryophyllales; Amaranthaceae
Exons: 3
Source: RefSeq, a predicted model, not a curated record
CGUAAUUAACAAAUAAUUAGUUCAUAAAUCAUAAUACUCCGUUAUAUGAUUAAGUAAUGAAGCUUAAUACAGAUCAUGGACAGGUGGUUUAAUGCACGAUGCCAUCCAGUUCUUAUUUCUUUUAACCUGUUGAAUACGUCAAAUAGUCCAAGUGUCAUUUCUAACUGAUCUCUGCAUUUUUAGGCCUUAUUUGGUUGGGAAGAAUUGGAAGGAAAAGAAAAGAAAGGAAAGUUAAAAUAAGAUUUUCUGUAUUUGGUACAAAUAAUUAUAUGGGAAGUGAAAGGAAAGGAAGGGAAUUGGAAGGAAAGCUCCUUUAUAAAAUUUUCACUUUCCUUUCCUCCCAAAAUUGGAGGAAUUCGGAAGGAAAGAGAAAAUUAAAAGCUGUCAUUUAUAUUUCUUUUUCCUUCUCUUCCUUUCUUUCCUUUAAACCAAACACAGGAAAAUUAAAUCACUUUCCCUUCCAUUCUUUUCCCUUCCUUUCUUUUCUCUUCCUUUCCUUUACUAAUAAUGAACCAAAUAGGGCCUUAAGAAUUUAUGGAGUAUUUUUUAAUUUUCUUUAUUUCUCCUUCAUCUUUCUUCUUUUCCGUAAUCCCGAAUUCCGUACUAUCAAAAACAGACACCGUAGAUCCUAAUUCUCCGUCCCUCCGCCACCACCACAGAUCCACGUUCCACCGCCACAACCACCGCAUUUCAAUAACCGCUCUAUCUUUUCCUCAAUCUCCCGUGCUGCAACAAUGGCCUCUAAUCAACCACCUCCACAACCAAUUAACCAAUGCCCAACUCCAAAUCCUAUUCUUACCACCGCUGCUUCAACAGCCGUCCCCACCAACGUUAAUUGGCCCGCUUUUCCCGUUCCGAAAAAAUCGUUAAUUGGACUCGCAAUUACAGCAGGCUGCUCUGCCAUGUGAUGAUUUUCACCGGAACUCCGGAAGAGCAACGCCGAACAUCCGGAACCUUCUACUCGCCGAACAAGCAACAGGAGUGGUGAAUGAGUGUAAGAAAAUAGGUGGAAAAAGUAAGAGAUGUACUCCCUCCAUCUCUAAAAGAUUGCCCCAAUUUCCUUUUCGGUUUGCCCCUUUGAGUUUGCUUCAUAUCAUUUAUAAACAGAACUACUCUUGGGUGGUGUCCCUACAUCCGGAAAUCAUUGAAGGGAGGCCUGAGGAUCGACAAUGGUGACUGAGUCAUUUGUAGUUGAUGUGCCAGAUAGAAAUACCCAUGACUAAACCAUUACAGUUACGUUUAUCAACUGCAAUCUUGAUUCUUUUGCUGCUGUAUCUGAACAUGUGGGUGUACAAGACAACUGAUCCGGUUGAUAGGAUUUGAUUAGAAGCUUGAAGUGAUGGGUAGACGUCUUUCUCAAGUCUCUACAGUCUCAUUCUGUGCGUCCAAUCCAUGCUUUCUAGUUGUAUAUUAACAUGUGCUCAAACCGGUGAUUGUGGAACUGUACGUGUCGUAGUAUGAUAUUAUAUCUGUCUGUUGUAACAUCAGAUGGUAAAACCGUAAAAGAAGGCAGGGUCCUGUAGAAUAUUAAUAGACAUGUAUAAUCUGAAUUCCAAUUCUUGUGACCAUAAUAGCAUAAUGUGGAACCUGUAUAUAUGAAUUAUGUAUUGUGACUUUGUGAGAUGAUGAUGAAUGUUAACGAAGACAGGAAAGAUAUCUAUCA